This 3359-nucleotide long non-coding RNA is filed under the name Heterocephalus glaber (naked mole-rat). RNAcentral's name for it is "lncRNA (ENSHGLG00000049415.1)". The record is from RNAcentral. Lineage: Eukaryota; Metazoa; Chordata; Mammalia; Rodentia; Bathyergidae.
AGAACCCUGUGAAAAUGAAGUCAUGCUGUCCAGACCAGCUCGGCAUCAAAAGUGAAAACAGAUGACUUAGCUAUUUCCUUUUCUUUUCAAAUUUGCUAGUAAGGUUUAGUGACCUAACUUCAGGGCUAAAUAUGUGAAGAUUAAGUCAGAAAACUCAAGGACAUAUUAAAAAUGAGCCAGUGGCACAUGUCUGCAAUCCCAACACUUGGGAGGCUGAAGCAGGAGGAUCACCGUGAGUUUGAGGCCAGCCUGAACUACACAGCAAGCCCUUGUCUCAAAAAAAAACCUCAAAUAGAUAGACAGACAGACAGACAGAUAGAUGGAUGACAUAUUCUGAACUCAGCUCAAAUAGAGCUUCUAUUAAAUCUUUCCAGCAAACUCUUUCUGGAGAUGUACUGAUGUAGCUGCGCAAGUCACUGCAAUAUGCUAAGACAAAGUCUUGCUGUGUAGUCCAGGCUGGUAUUGAGCUGAACCUUUUGGCUUGUCAAAUUAAUCAAAAGGAAGGACCACGCAUGCUGCAGGGGAUGGAAAGGGACUGGAAAAUCAUAAACUGGGCUUUGGGCUCUCACUACACAGGCAAAGGUAAUCUUGGUAUGUCUUCAGGAUCUCUUGCAAAAAAGAAAAAAAUUCUGAGGACCAUUUGUCUGUUUAGAGCUGUCCUGUCUGAUACAGUAGUUCCUAGCUAUAUGUGGCUACUGAGCACUUCAAAUGAGACUGACUAAGAUUGAGAUUUUCUAUAAGUUUAAAACACAUUGUUGGGAGGCUGAAGCAGGAGGAUUGGUGAGUUCAAGGUCAGCCUAGGGUACCUAGUGAGUUCAAGGCCAGUCUGAACUACAUAGCAAGACCCUGUCUCAAAAAACCAAAAAGAAAAAACACACACACACACGUUGGAUUUCCAAGACUUAGUACAAACAAAAAAUGAGAUGUAUCCGAGAGCUUGUUUGGAGGUUCUAGCAGGGGAGCGCAGCUACUCAUAUACCCUUGAGGGAGGAAAUGGUGCUGCUCCAUCCAGCAUGGUCAGGCUCUUUGACCAGGUGCACAGCUUCGGGAGGGACGCACAUGGAGCAGUGAGGGAAAAAGGGGACACCCGCCUAGCCAGCCAGAUCACUCUCACAUCCAUGAGAUGCAUCUCAAUAAUUCCUAUACUAAAUACAUGUUAGAUUAAACAAAUUAUUGUAUUUAUUUCUUUCUUAUAUUUUUUAAUGUGGCCAUUAGAUUUCAUGUUGCCUUUGUGGACUGGAUCAUAUUUUUAUUAGAACCUGACUUGUACCGAAAAAAGACUUGUCCUACAGCUGUAUUAUCAUUGAAAUAUUGUUUCAAAAUGUUCAUAGGAUGUCAGAGAAAGUUAUCUCUAAGGAUUUCUGUGAUGGUUUGGAUGAUUUUAUCUUCCAAGGGGCCAUGUGUUUGAAGGUGGGUGACAGUGUUGGGGGAUGAUACGAAACCUUUAAGAGUGGGAAGUCCACUAGGUCAUUGGCACUGUGUCUCCAGAAAGAAUUAAAGUAGUUGUCCUGUGACCCUGAGUUCUCACAAAAGGGUGGCUAUACAGGAACACACCUGCCACUCCCCAGCCUUUCUGACUUCCUGUCAGCCAGUGUGAUCUCUCUCUCUCUCUCUCUCUCUCUCCCUCCCUCGUGCAUGCUUCUGCCACUACGAUACCAUCCACCAUGAUUGCCAGAGCUGAGCUUAUAAUGAUGCCAUGCCCUUGAAUCUCCACAUGUGUAAACUAAGUGAGCCUCUCUUUGAGUUACCCAGCCUCAAAUGUAUAGCAAUGGAAAAUGGAUUUAUACAGUUUGCUGAAAGAAGAGUGUGGCAAAUCUGGUUCAAAUACAUUACUGCGGGUCCUUUCCAAAGUCUUUUUCCCAACAUCUAUGAAAUAUGAAUAUUGACUGUCUCCUGGGUGACUUGUGUGGAGAGAGUCUCUUUCAGCCAUACCUCUGAGACCUACGGCCAUUGCUAACCCUAGACUGAUGAAGUGAUUUACUACCAUUACCCUUAGAAAGCACCUCUUGUUUUUUCACAUCCACAACAGGAAAUACUUCUGGGUUGGUCUCAUUUAUAACAGCUGGUCAGCAUAAUGUUCUCGAAGAAGCUCGUGUUUCUCAAAGAUUACUGAAACUGUGUCAUUCUCUCAUAACUGAAUAAGUUUUUUGACUCUGCCAAGAGUAUUGAAUUGAUUAAAGUGAUUAGGUGCUUUCUCAUUAUCAUCUAUCUUUAGCUUUCUUUUAGCAGUGAUUGAUCUACACUUUGCAAUUGAAAGUUCAAUGUUUUCUGUGUAGAAGGAAGAAGGAAUUAAGGAGUUCUGCACUGUUAGUCUAUUAAUAUUUUAUCAUGAAUUGUCAGCACCAGCACUUUGGACUGGAACCUGUGAAAGGAUGAGCCAAAAUAAACACCUUCCUUCCAUUUAGUUGGGCAUGUUGGAUAUUUUGUCCCAGCAAUGAGAAAGCUGACCAUACAAUGACCUUAGCAUUUCCAUCAAAUCUCAACUCAUUCCAGAUUUCAGAUUCCUGGAAACAAACCUGCCUUAAUGGAGCCAAGCGAUCAUUUCUCUUCUUUGCACCCCCCAAAAGAAUCCAAUAAUCAAACGCUAUUGAAAGAAGCUUUCAGCAACUGGAACAGAGUGGGAUCUCCAUAGAUGCGGCUAUUAGACAGCUGUGCCUUGGUACUCAAAUGCUUUGAAACUUGUUGAAUUUGGUACUGGAUGUAUUUGAAUGUGAAAUGUUGUCCCUCACAGUUAAUUUGGUACCAACCUGCAAGCUAGAACUUGUCUAUAUCAACUGCCUCGUGACUCCUUAUAAUUUUCAGCCAAAAUAAUUUGUUGGGUACUCGCUGUUUUUGGUGCUUGCCACAUCUCCAAGAACCAAUUAACAAUGAAUAAUGUGGUUUCACUGUAUUUUUAAAACAGCUUCUACAAGCAAAGGCAAAACCUACAAACUAAGUCUCAAAUCCAAGCAUCACCAUUGGUUUGUAUUUUUAGUUUGGUAGCUUUUUCUUCCCUUUGCUUUGAAGUAUUUUGGGUUUGUUUUUUUUUUAAUUCUAGGAGAAGGCCCAAAUUGGAUAAGUUUAGGUGUAGAAAUAAAACACAUGUUCUAACAAUUUUGGAGAGAUAGAUGAAUCUCUUGGGAUAUGAGAUUUCACAAAAUAUUUUAAAUUAUUUUUCAAAUAAUAUGGGUUUGGCAAAAACAAAAUGAUUUUCUAAAAAAGUUCCCUCCUUAACAUUCAAAUGGUCUCAAUGGAAAUGUAAUAUACAUAUUUCUAGCUCUCUUCACAUAACUCAGUAUUAUUUAAUAGGAAUUGGUUGAUGUUUAACAAUCCAGUGAGUACUUGACCUAUUUUUGGACAAUAAAACUACCUUCUGAGAA